RNAcentral lists this unclassified non-coding RNA (1712 nucleotides) under Leishmania donovani. RNAcentral describes it as "gene:unknown". The record is from RNAcentral. Lineage: Eukaryota; Euglenozoa; Kinetoplastea; Trypanosomatida; Trypanosomatidae.
GGCUCCAUCCUGCUGUCAGUGUGGCAGCAGAGGUGCCUCGUCUGAGUGAUGCACGCGGACUUCCUCUUUAUAUGCUUUGUUUUUCCGCGGUGAGUUGUGUCCCCCUCCCCUUCCCCCCUCCCCACAGACGCAGACACACACUCACAUUCCCUCUAUGUUUGGUUUCUCUUCCUCCUUUGUGCGUGUGUUCCUUCUGUUUUGUAUUGCUUGAGUUCAUGGCGCCUUCCCUGAUCUGUGUGUUUCUGUCUUUGCGCUCCGUUUUUCGUCCCACUCCUCCUAUCGAGCCGUUCACCAGGCCCAGGCAUCUGCAAAACAACAAAAAAGGAGAAACAAAUAAAAUCAAUAGCUAAUAAGAACAAGCCAUCGCUGCUGCUUUAUGUGCAUGCGCGUGUGCGUGUGCGUUUGCCAGUAUGACUUUGUUGUGUGCGUGUUCGGUUCUUCAUUUCGUAGUGUCCUGUUGAUGUUCGUUUCCAGACUCUCUCGCUCGCUUUCUCUUUCUCCAGUAUUUGGUCAUCGCGGGUGCGGAAACAGUCUGUGGGAUGCGAUCAACAAGCCACUGCCGCAGUCGCAUUUAUGCUCCUCUUCCCACUACGACGCUGUUGACUACCACCCCCAUCACCACCACCACCACCCUCUCCCCACUCCCCACUCCCCACGCAGCACACGAGCGCAAUAGCACUCGGAGGCGGGAGGAGAGGCGAAGUGGUGGUAAAGGCAAAAGGUUUAAAAAUAUAUAUGAAAACGGAUGUGGUGCAGUGAGGAGAGCAUACCCAGGGAGCGAAAGUGCAGAGGUUAGAAAAGCAGAUCACGGUGGACUAGAGAGGAGUGAGAAGCAGGUAAGCAAAGAAAACAAGAAAAGCGUGUGCGGCCAAAUCACAGGACAGCGGGUUGCAGAGGAAUGAACGGGAGAGAACGUUCAAGGCUGGACACUGUAAGAAGGAUGAACGACGAGGAAGGUCAGGGUACAUACGCGAAAGUCAUGCGCAGGGAGGGAACUUACAAUACACAUGAACAAGCACGCACACAUUCUGCUCGGUUGCCUUCACCUGGUGUACUCUUUCCAAGUCUUCCACCUCUACUCCAUCGCCCCCUCCUCUCCCUCCCUCCUCCAACCCUUCCCUUGUCUGCUUGCCUCAGAUGCAGCUCACCUGAUCGUGUUCCCGUUGUUCUUUUGCUUCCGAAUUCGUGAUUCUCAUUUUUGGCUUUGUGCUACUUUCUGGUUUGCGUGCAUAGUGGUCAGGAACCCUCAUUUCUCCAGCUCUUCGCCGCCUCCCCUCUUUCUCACACGAACGUCUUCUGCCUCGCGCACGCGCCUCCACGCCUUCCACGCCCCCUACCCCAACAAGGAACGGGACGGGGCGUUCAUGUGUAGGUGUGUGGACUUGUGUGCAGGCUCUCGUUUUCUUGACUCGCUCUAUUCCUUUGUCAACUCGCUUUCGACUGUUUUGCUUUUCAUUCGUCCACCCACCCAACAUCCCUCCAUCCCCAUCCCCAUCCCUUUUUUUGGUUUUAUUUUGGUCUGGCCCUUUUUCUUUUUUUUUGCUCUUGUUGUUUGACCUUUAUUUGUGUCGGCGUGUGAGUGAGUGUGUGUGUGUGUGUGUGUGUGUGUGUCGCUCCUCCAGUUGAAGGCGAAGAGGGGUACCGUUGACGUGACUCUCCCAGUACAUACAAGCGAAAGCAUGACGACGAGUAGCCACGUCUCGCGCCGAAUG